GAUGAACGCUGGCGGCGUGCCUAAUACAUGCAAGUCGAGCGAACAGAUGAGGAUCUUGCUCCUCUGACGUUAGCGGCGGACGGGUGAGUAACACGUGGAUAACCUACCUAUAAGACUGGGAUAACUUCGGGAAACCGGAGCUAAUACCGGAUAAUAUAUUGAACCGCAUGGUUCACUAGUGAAAGACGGUUUUGCUGUCACUUAUAGAUGGAUCCGCGCCGCAUUAGCUAGUUGGUAAGGUAACGGCUUACCAAGGCAACGAGGCGUAGCCGACCUGGGAGAGUGAUCGGCGACACUGGAACUGGGACACGGGCCAGACUCCGACGGGAGGCCGCAGCAGGGAAUCUUCCGCAAUGGGCGAAAGCCUGACGGAGCAACGCCGCGUGAGUGAUGAAGGUCUUCGGAUCGUAAAACUCUGUUAUUAGGGAAGAACAAAUGUGUAAGUAACUAUGCACGUCUUGACGGUACCUAAGCAGAAAGCCACGGCUAACUCCGUG
This 497-nucleotide ribosomal RNA is filed under the name uncultured bacterium. RNAcentral describes it as "partial 16S ribosomal RNA". It matches the Rfam family "Bacterial small subunit ribosomal RNA", at positions 28 to 507 of the family's 1533-position model. The record is from RNAcentral.